UAUGCGGUGAUGAGCUGUUACAUGUAAGAAGAUCCUUUUGUAGGGUUCUUUGAUGAAAUAUUCUUGUUACGCUUGGCUUCUGAGCAUU
RNAcentral lists this small nucleolar RNA (88 nucleotides) under Salix viminalis (osier). It matches the Rfam family "Small nucleolar RNA R24". Rfam says of the family: snoR24 is a C/D box small nucleolar RNA which acts as a methylation guide for 18S ribosomal RNA in plants. Lineage: Eukaryota; Viridiplantae; Streptophyta; Magnoliopsida; Malpighiales; Salicaceae. The record is from RNAcentral.